GUAAUGCUCUCAAGUUCUUUUUGUUCAAGAUUUUUUGUUGGGAGUUGCUAUUGGUGUAUUUAGUUAUUCCAUAUGAAUUUAAGGAUUGUUUAUUACUGUGAACAAUGACUUUAGAAUUUUGACAGGGAUUGUAUUGACUCUGUCACUGGAUUUGUGUAGUUUAGACUUUUUAAUGAUAUUAAUUCUUUCAACCUAUGAACACAAGAUACUUUUCCAUUUAUUUGUGUUUUCUUUAAUUUCUUUCAUCAGUGUUUUAUAUUUUUCUUUUUUUCAUGCGACUUGUUUUAUUGCAAUAUUGUUUUAUAUGUUUCACUAUACAGGUUCUUGAACUUCCUUGGUCAAAUUACAUCAAAGUGUUUUUAUUGUUUUUUGUUGCUAUUGUAAAUGUGAUUAUUUUUGUAAUAUCUUUAUUAGUAUGGAAUCUAUUGAUUUUUCUCUGUUGUUGAUUUUGUAUCUUGCAACUUUACUGCAUUUGUUAUCAGUUCUAAAUUUUGGGGAUAGAAUAUUUGUAUUUUCUAAAUGUAAUAUUAUUUCAUCAGUAAAUAGAAACAAUUUUACUUCUAUGUUUCCUGUUAAAAUGCCUUUUAUUGUUUCUUUUUCUCCUAGGCUAAGUCUGCCUUUUCUCCACAGAAUGGCCAUAGAAUAGCUGAUAUUCAUUUUCAAAGAAACAAAAUUUUGGCUGUUAGCUUUGUGAGUAAAGAUACAUAGACUAAUAAUGAAAACCCACAUAGCUGAUUUUAUUAUUCUCUAAUCUUGAAGCCCGUAAGUAGUUCUGGACUUAAGGAACAUAAACACUGAUGUAAGUAAAUAUCAACAAUGUACAUAAACAUCAAUGUUGAUCUUCUGGGCUUCGAUGGUGUUCAUUCACUGUAGCCCACUAAAUUAUUUCAAUAAAAAAAAUGGUUGAAUAAGACAUAAAGUUAGGGAAGGCCAGUCAUGGCCUAUAAUUAGAAUGGGUCAUGAAGAAAAAUUUAUGCUUAUUUGAACCCAAUCCAGCGGAGAAUGUUAAGAGAUGGAAGGCAUUUCACAUAUUGUCAGAGUAAUUUAAAUUCUCAUUGCAUGUUUUUGCUACAGUUGUUUAAUAUAUUUUUUCAGUGACAAAUAUCUGAAUUGCUAGUUUUUUGAGGCAGUUAGCAUAUGUCAAUUUUCUCAAUUGUGGGCUAAGGUGGGAGGCUUUGGUUGUUGAUUACACCAGCAUUAAUAAAUAGACAACUCUAGUGAAAGUGGUGCAAAUAGACACCAAUCAUAAGCUUGGGAUUGACAUGUAGGAAGGAUGCUGAUUAAUCCAUAUGUGUAAACCUGAGGUUCAUAAAAAAAAAGUGACCCAGUCUAUUUUCUGUGCAUGAAAGGGAGUAAUGAACAGAUCUUGGUUCUAUUAAAGCCUUUUGUUCUCAGUUUUGUGUCAUUACAGGGUAUUGAUCCUAUAAUUAUCAUUUAUGAAACCAUGAAUGGCUGAGUCAAUUCAAGAAGGUAUAAAUGAAUGAAGAAAUAGAAAGUCAAGCCUGGAUCAGUGAUGAGUAUUGAUGGAGGCGUCUGAAUCAAUACCUUUGAUUAAGCCCUCUGUUUACUCUGAGAUCUGUUACUGAAUGAGAAACAGCCAAUAUUCCAUGUAAUAGAAGUUAGGAAAAUUCAGUAAACUUUUCUUGGACUUUCGUGGUUAUAAGAUAUGGAAUGUAUUAUUUUAAAUGAAUCACGCAUGCAUAAAUUAAUAGAGAAGUAUAUAUAUGAAAGAAGAUGAACAGACCUAUUCAAGGAGGAAUUUUUUGAAUGGAGUACAAUAAGUAUUAUUAAUGUUUUAUUAAUAUUAUUAUUAAUAUUUUAUUAAUAUUAAUACAACAAAACAAGUGUAAUUAUUAAUCUGAAGUAAAAUUGUUUUGCAUGGACGCUAUUAGUAUCUUCGUUGAGAGACAAUUCUUUUUAAAUUAAGAAAAGUGUUUGCAUAAGCCAAUAAUUAUUAUGUAACUGUCCACUUAAUAGUUGUUUAUAUAGCAGAUAUUUGUAAUCAUAGAUCUUAUUCUUGGGUUAGGUGGUAUAUAUACUUAUUGUAUUAUAAGUUAAGUAACACUGUAUUAUUUAAAACUGAAAGUUCAAUAUAGGGCUAAUAAAAAUUAUAUUCUUGAGCAACUUUUUUAUUACUCAAUAUCUGUUUGACUGAGAUGUAUUCAAAAAUAUCUAAAUCUAUUUUAAACUUACUUUUUCCUCCCUAGAGUGAACAUAAGAUAGCUGACUUAACCAUUCAGUGAAGGAAUUUAUCCUGAGUAAGGGGCAUAUAGACUAAUGUAAGUAAUAAGUACCUGAUUUUAUGUUCUUGUUUUGAAUGGCUUGCUGAAGGAUUUCAAAGUAAUAAAUGUUUAUUUACAUGAAAUAAAUAAAAUAUUCCAUGUAUGAAGUAAGUAUAAUACUCCAAGUAUGUGUUGUUAAUCACAAACUAUGUUUAAUCUAAAUUAGCAUAACUGAAGCAUUUUUUAAGAAGAUAGAAGUUAUUUAACUUACUCUCAGAGGAGUUUAUUAUUAUUCUUUAUUUUAUGCCAUGGUUGAUUUCCCUUUGGGUGGAGAUACUAGCUGAUAGUUCCUUCAUGGUAGCCUGUAAGACUAUGAAUUGCAUGGUGAGUGUUUUGGAGGUGAGAGAAGAUGCUGGUUUCAUUAUUUUUCAUUUAACCAUUUUGACAAGACUAUGAAGUUCAGUGCUCUCGUGUUUGAGAUUUUUGAUUAUGUUAUGUGUGAAUUGAUAAAUUAAUCAAUAAGUGAAACAAAAAUGUCUAUCAUGGAAAGUGAUGAAUAUCAUGCAGCUUCUGAACAAAAGAUUCUGAUUAAGCCUAUCUGGAACUCUGAGGUCCAUUAUUCGAAAAAAAAAGAUACCUUAUUAUUCUUUGAGGGAAAUGAAUAUAAGACCCUUGUUCAUAUGCCUUUGUGAUUUGAAGAAUGAACAUGUUCUUCUCAAUUGAGUUAUUAUCUUCUGGUGAAGAUCCUGCCUUGUACUUCUAUGAAUUAGAAGAGAAGAGAUCCACAAUGGGCAUACUAGAUUGGAUUUGUCACUCCCCUGUGAUGAAGAAUAUGGCUAAUGCUUCACUGGUCUCAAUGUGUAUUUUUCAUGCUUUUGAAAGUUUGUAUCUGACUGCACAGAAUGAACACCAUGGCUGAUUUUUAAUCAGUCUCUACUUGGCUGUUAUCCUUUGUGGGUAUUGAUCUGGGAAUAGAUAUUACUGCACAGAUAUUACUGCCAGUGAGUCAAUGAAUGGGUCAAUAAACAAAAGUAUAAAUGAAGAAAACGUUUGCUUAUCUUGGAUCUAUGAUGAGUACCCUGGGGUGUCUGAAUCAAAGAUUUUGAUUAAACCCUGUAACUCUGAGGUCCAUUGCAAAACGAUUCCUGUUCGUCAUCAUCAUGGGAAAAUGGACGCACAAUAAUCCAAUCAUUCUCUAGUGAGAAAGAUCUUGGUUAUUAUCUUUUUGAAAAAAAUAUAUAGAAACCUGUAAGUAGCAAAGUAAUUGCUUCUGGAUUGGUGAUUUUUUAAUGCAUGUUAAAUCUAUUAUUGCAAAGGAAUAAAUGGCUACACAUAAACAUAAAAAGAAGAAAAGUUAUGUGUGGAUUAAUUCAGCACAUCUAUAUUCAAUUAAUUUCAAAAACGUAAGACCAUUUUGUUCACUUUUAUAGUUAAUUAUUAGUUAAUUGAUUAAUGUAAAAAUUGAUCAUUCAAUUUUAUUUUAGUCACAAUUGUGUUAAGUCUCCCUCUAUUUAUAAAGAUAUACUUUAGUGACAUGCCAAGAUGUAAAAUACUGUCAAUAUUUUGUGUGUGGAGUAAAAUGGUGGGUUUGUAGUUGUUUAUUGUCAUCUCUAAAAUACAGACAAAGUAAAUGGAAGAUGAUGAAGCCAUAACCAAUUAAGAGUAUGGGAUUGGUAUGAAUUGGAGAUGAUUAUUAAUCUAUUAAUCUGAUAAACUGAAUGUAUUACACAAUGGGAAUUAUGUUUUCACCUCUUUAAGAGAUGAUUUAUGGAGAGGUGUUAGUAUAGUCUAAUUUCUUGUUGUUGGGUUUUUAUGAUUCUUAAGUAUUGAUUAUACUAUUAAUACAAUCAUUGAAACGUAAGCAAAUAUAUAAACGAAGAAUGACAUAUUAAAUGGGGACCACUGAUGGGGUUUUGUUGGUGUGAAACAAUGAUUAUUAAACAUAUACAUCUUAUUAUGAAACUUUACAUCCCCCAACUCCUCCUUAAGUGACUGAGUCAAUACAACAAUGUAUAAAAGAAAGAAGCAAAGAACCUAUUAUAGGCAAAUAUCAUGAAUAUUUCUGAUGGACUGAGGCCCAUGAAAAUAUUAACAAAUGAAGCAUGUUAUGUUUUGGAUGAGGAGCCUGUGGACAGAUUUUUGUAAUAGUCUAUGUGCUUGGUUUGAUUAUAGGGUAAAUUGGUAGUUUUUUAUAUUAAUAAUAUAUAAGUAAAAAGAUAUUAAAUAAAUAAGUAAAAGAUUAACCUGCUAACUAAACAAAAGAGGGCCAAAGUAAUGCCCAAUAAGAAGCAUAUGUUUCAGUUCCAUGUAAUUGUUGUCCUGAUAGGAAAUAAAAUCCAGGCUCUGUCCACUUUGAGGAUUAAAUAUUUAGACAGAUGAAUGUUACAUUUUAGUUCUUAGUUGCUGGCUUUUUACCCUGUUCACACAAUAACUAAGAAAAUGCCAGGAAGGCUAUAUUAACCAGUGUGAUGAAAAUGUGUCAAACUGUUUAUAAAACCAGUGUAUAGUGCCCCAUAAUCACAUUAAUGUACACAGCUAUGAUUUAAAAUUAAUAAAAAAAGAGAAAAAAAGAAAUGCAGGUAGAUGAUUUAAUUAAUCCAUCAGGACAUAUAUACCUACAAAGGUAUACAUACUUAUACAUCAUAAACAAGGGAAACUGUAGACCAUUGAUGAGACUGUUCUAUGAAAUAAUCAUUUGUAUAUUUUGCCCCGAAUAUUGUACACUUUUUUGUCUAAAUUUUUGAGGGAAAAAUUAAGAUGUCCAUUAUACAUUGGUAGCACUACUUGUUCCUUACUGGUACAUAAAAUUUCUUGUACCUGUGCUUUGUAAUUGUUACAUCAAUUUUCUUGUACCAUCUUAUGUUAAAAAAUAAAUACUAGAAUUCCUUUAUAAUAUAAACAAGUAUCUAAAUAGAAUCAAAUACAAAUUCAAAUUAAAAAAUUAAAAUGGAUUUUUUUCUUGAAUGUUUGGGCCCGAAAUGUAGAUGCAUAUUAUGCACAGUAAAAUAUGGUAGAUUAAUUCUAUUUAAACAUAGUCCAUUUAAAAGUUGACCUAAAUUAUUGUCUCCUACAUCAAGAGGGGGCAUGGAGACUAUUAUCCAUUUUAGUUACAGUUAUUUUUCUUGCUCUGGGUGAUGGAAUUUAUUGUACUUAUUAGUGUAUUAAAAAUUAUCUUUAAGCUAACUAUAGGCCAAUCAUAAGCAAGUUCUAAAAUUCAUAAGCUACCAAAGAUUUCAAUUAAUCCACUAACACAGGGUAUCCAUAUAAAGCAAAAAAUUCUUCGUUGUUUUCAACAUCUGCUUUGUAAUUUACAGAAUUAUAUAUGUGUAUCAGGGCUGAUUUAAAUCACUUUCCACUGAUGAUCAUUUUGGUGGUUACUUAUAUGGGUAUGGAAUAAGCUGAGGUAAGUAAUUCUUAAGUUAAUAACAAGUAUGUGUUAAUAAAUUUUUAUUUAAUUAUUGUAAGUGGAUCAUUGACAGAAGCAAUAAAUAAAUAAAUAUAUAUAAAUUUUGUUAAAAGGGUAAAGUAUUGCUCUACUAUGAAUAUAUGUGGCUAGUCAAGAAAUAGAGAAGACUGUAGUUUUAAAAAACGUGCGGAUAAAGAAUAUAUUGUCUGUUUGUCUAUGAGUUUUAAAAGCACUGAAUAUAAGAAAUAGUCAAUUAGUAUUCUUGUACAGUUAAGUUUAUUAAGACAGAUUAAGAAAUACCUAAAUUACAGUGAAAAUGAAAGGGUAUUACAAGGUCUAAUGAAGAUAAGUUACCAGUUAUUAACAUCUGGUCUGCUUUAUACUCUUCAGAAUGUAUGCUCCAAUCUGUUGUGAGCACUGUGCCAUGACCUCGAGCCCUAUGGCUGUCUCUAAGGGUUGUGACAAAGAUUCCUAAUGGCUGUUCCCAAAUUGAUUUAAGCACUCGUCCGUGUAGUGAUGAACUCUAUGAUUGUGUCUAUGUGCUGUGAGCAUAGAGACCAACGUGACUAUAGAGGAUAUUACAUAUAUUAACAAGAUGGCCUUAGUAUACUUCAAGAAAGCCAACCAUGACUGAAUGAUAAAUAUGUGAUUAUACAAAACAUUGUAUGAGGCCCAAGCUUGGACCAAUAUUGAUGACGGGUCACCAUCAAUAAGAAAUCCCAGAUGAUGAAUAAUAUGUUUGAAAUUGAGCGGUCCAAAACAAAAGAAAAUCUCACCUACUGACUCUAUUGGAAAUGAUACUUAGAUGUUAAGUAAUGGAUUGGCCCAGGCUAGAGUGAGCAAACUGAAGUGAUCACAUUCUCCACUGUUGCCUCUGGGUAGGGACCAAGAGAAGAAUAAUGGACAAACUGGAGCUGACUGUUCUACCAGUUAUAAGAUGGUGGUUGCUGCUGUGUGUUUGGUGUAUAGAAGCCAAGACUGGACACACACGAACUUGUGUGUUAUGUUCAUGAUCUCCAUGAUUACCUCCUUGUUAGGUGCAUUAAGUCUGUGGUGAGUAAUAAUCAAAGUUCUUGACUUAGUUUGGGUGGUUUAUUUAGGGUAUUUAGUGUAAUAUUUAAAAAGUUUAUUUACUAUAUUGAUAAAAGGUUAACCAUGGCUUACUGAUAAGUAUAUAAUUGAUGUCCAACAUUAUGUUGAUUAAUCAAUAUUUGUAGCAAUGAGUGUGAUUAAAGAAAGAAGUACAUUCAAUGUAGAAAAUGCUUCUAUAUAUAGAUGUUAUGGAUACUUAAAGAUCUUGUCCUUGAGUUUUUGAUUCACAUAUAUUUUGUUAUUUUUUAGUGAAUUAAUACAUUGAUUAGUAGAUGAUAAUGAAAAAAGUAGUCUCAAUCCUGAACCAAUAUUAUUAAUGAAUUAAUCAAUGAACAAUGAGGAAAUGAAAGAAGAGAAAGGGGGCCUUGUCUGGACCACUGAUGAUGAAAACUGCCGGCGUUUGAGUCUUGGAUGAUGAAUAAUAUGUGUCUGGAACUCUGAGGUCCAAAGUGAAAGCAAUCUAGUCUACCCCCUGUGGAUGAUCUUAUAGAAAGAUGUCAGGCGAAUAUAAUGACCUGUUCUUGUCUUUGUUUUCAUGAAUUUUAAGAAAUAUUUUAAUUCAGGUAGCAAUGGCAGAACCCAUAAACAUUUCUUUUUUUUUUUUAUUGUUGGGGAUUCAUUGAGGAGAACCCAUAAACAUUUCUAUAAAUGAAUAAAGAUGAGAGGGGAAGUAUGAUAUAAUUUUAAAAUGUAUAGUAAGAAAAAAUAAUAGUUACAUAAGUUAACAUCAAUGAUAGGUAAGUUAGUGUAUUCUAUCUUUAACUAAAGGUGAUUUUGACAGGACAAUGAUAAGUAAGAGUUAUUGCUCCGAAUCAGUUUGAAAUUUAAGAGAGCAUUAAUAAAUACCACCAUUAAUUAUAAUAAUAAAUACCUAAGUGACUACGUAAAUGAGUGAGGAAGGCAUGGGUCAACAGAGAGAACGUCUUAGUAUUUUUAUUAUCUUCUCUGCUUUACACUCUUCAGAAUGGAUAAACGGAGCAAUUUAACAUUCUGCUUUGAUCAAGAUUAAGUUGCCUCUUUGUAGAAAUGAAACCAAUACACAACUGAGCUGAUUCAAGCAUUUAUGGUCAUGAGAUCUGUGGUUUCUGUUUGUUAGGAGCACAGACACCAAUCAGAAUGGACACACCUGAACUGACUGAAAACUUGGCUGUGUUCUGAAGCUUCAUGUUUGUUCCUGUGUAAUGGAUAUACUGGCAUCAGUAUUAUGUUGCCUCUGUGUUAAUCCAAUGAUGGACAUGUCCAAGCUGAUUUUUGCAUUAUUCUCUGGACAUGAAGUCUACAGUUCACUCUAUACGUUAGAAGUUUGAGGACCAAUAAAUUAUCACCGUAUAAUUAAAAAGCUUGGAAUAUAAUUGGUGGAGGCUUCCUGCUAUUCAGAGAUCUGUCAUGGUCACCUACUCCAGUCUAUGGUUUUCCUCUAUGCAAUAGGAGCAUGGAGACCACUAAUGGAUGCAUUCAAGGUGAUUUACUCACUCUUCUAUGGUCACAAACUAUGGUUGCAUCUACAUGUUAGGAGCAUAAUGAGUGGUAAUGGAUGCAUCGAUCUAAUUUAAGAAUUUUGCUUUCAUCAAGACUUGUUUAUCAUUGUUACUGAACGGACUAAUGUAAUAGUCAAAGUUGUAGUGUGGUUUGUUUAAGGGUAUUUACUGUAUUAUUAACAAAAUAUAAAAUAUAGUCAAAUAGGGCCAAAUGCAGUUCAGUAACAAGUGUGGGAGUAUUACAUAAAGCAUCUCUUGGAUUAAUAAAUAUGUGAAAAAUGGAUACUAAUUAUUUAAAGAUAUAUAUGAGUAAUGUGAAAAUGAUUUUAUAUAUAUAUAUACCUAUAAGCAGUUACUAAUGCUAUAAUUGAAUUGUGUGAAUUAUAGGCUUUUUAUGAGUAUUAGUGGAUUAAAAAAAUAAAGUAGCAUUGCAUGAAGAGAAAGUGGGCCUUUCCUGGACCAAUGAUGAGAAUUGCAGGCAUAUGAGUCUUGGAUGAUGAAUAAUAUGUGUCUGGAACUCUGAGGUUCAACACAAAAGAAAUCUGGUCUUUCUUUUCAUGCAGUUUUAUUUUAUUCUUUUAAUUGCAUCAAUAAAAGAAUCAAUAGACAAACAUACAAAUAAAAAUGACUCUUUGAAGCAUUGUCUAAUUGUAAAAAUAGGUGGUGAGGCAAGAAAUAAUAUUGAUAAAUAUGGAAAACUCUGAAGUCCACAGGGAAAUAGUGUAUAUAAAUAAUUGUUAUCUCUUUGGCUAAGUAUGCUGUUGACAUACUUAGGUAAAUAUGAAUAUUCAUAUUAUAGUUCAAUAGCAAGAUUAAUAUUGUUAGUUUACAUAGGAGAAAAUAAACAUUAACCAAGUUACUAAUUAUAUAUAACUAAAUAAAUAAAAGGAGAUAUUCAAGAAACAAUAGUAAUGAUAUUACAACCUUUUAAAGUCUUUGCUUUGCUCUGUAAUCUUCAGAAUGGAUGCACUGGAGUUGAUUCAAGCAUUCCUCUAUGGUCACAAACUCUAGGACUAUGACAAGCCAUGUGGAAUGGAUGCACCAAGUGGAUUUAAGCAUUCUGCUAUGAUGGAGACUUGUAUUGCUGUUGUGUUUGGAAAGAGAACAAAACCCGCCUGAGCUGAUUAGACAAUCUGCCCUGAUUGUGAACACUAUGGUUGCAUCUGUAAUAAGAAGCUGGAGAUCAAUCAUGAAUGAUUUCAAGGUGACUUAAUAAUUCUUCCAUGGCCACCAGCCCUGUGGUCGCAGCUCUGUGUGGGACCAAUAAUGGAUAGUUCCGAGGUGGUUCGAGCACUCUUCAUGCUUUCCAGCCCAUUAGCUGCAUCUCUGGGUUAGAAUGUGAAGAUCAAUAAUGAAUGCACCAAGCUCAGUUAAACGUUUUGCUGUGAUCAAGAUCGAUAUGCUGCCUCUGUGUUAGGAAAGAGAUCAAGAUAAGUUAUAGUCAAACUUCUUGUCGUGGUGCGGGUCAUUUGUCUGAGGCCAUUUGUGUAUUAUUAUAAAAAGUAUUAAAUUACUCAGGAAUAUGGGAGAAACAAGCUUAAGAGAUGUGUUGUGCAAUAUGGUGACUAUAUAAUCAUAGUAUAUUGUAUUCUUAGAAAAUGCUGAGUGAAUGUUUAAGUGUUCUUACCAUAGAAUAGCUAUAUGAUGUAAUUCUUAACGUUAACCAACUAGAUUUAGUUUUUCUACCAUAUGUAUACUUCAAAAUAUCAUGCUGUACCUGAAAAAUACAUAUAAUUUAAUCUGUCAUUUUAAAUAAAAAUGUAAACAUAUUAAAUUAAAAACUUAACCAUGGAUUAUUGACAAGUAUGAUAUGAGACAUUGCAUUAUUCAUUCUAUUAUAUAUGACAUUUAGGUCAAUUAAUGAAAGAAAUACAAUCUAUACCGAAAACAAUUCUAUAGACAGAUCUUAUAGAUAUUUUAGGACUUUGUUGAGUUUUUUGAACUAUUUGUUUUUAUUAAUAUCAAUAAAGUAAUCAUUUAAUUGAAAAUGUAGGAACAAAUGAAGAAAGUGAGACCCAGUCAUGGACCAAUGAUGACAAGUGGUGGCAUUUGAGUCAUGGAUGAUGAAUAAUAUGUGUCUGAAACUCUGAGGUCCAACACAAAACCUAAUUAGUCUCUUCCUUUUUUUGAAUUGACUCUAUGGAUGAAUGUCAGGAAUGUAUAAAGACAAUUAUCUUGCAUUGAUUCAGUUUAUUUAGAUUUAUUAUUAUCAGUAGAUCAGUGAUAGAUUCACUAAACUAAUAUAAAUUAAUAAAUAAAGAAGAGGGCCAACCUUUGACUACCUAUAAACAUGUGUGUGGGUGAGAAAUAUUAAUAAAAAUUGAAACCACCAAUGGCCAUUUAGAAAUAAAU
This is a long non-coding RNA of Nycticebus coucang (slow loris), 10550 nucleotides long. RefSeq lists it as uncharacterized. The transcript has 25 exons. The record is from RefSeq and is a predicted model, not a curated record. Lineage: Eukaryota; Metazoa; Chordata; Mammalia; Primates; Lorisidae.